Transfer RNA from Aspergillus rambellii, 99 nucleotides. It matches the Rfam family "tRNA". From Rfam's summary of the family: Transfer RNA (tRNA) molecules are approximately 80 nucleotides in length. Their secondary structure includes four short double-helical elements and three loops (D, anti-codon, and T loops). Further hydrogen bonds mediate the characteristic L-shaped molecular structure. tRNAs have two regions of fundamental functional importance: the anti-codon, which is responsible for specific mRNA codon recognition, and the 3' end, to which the tRNAs corresponding amino acid is attached (by aminoacyl-tRNA synthetases). tRNAs cope with the degeneracy of the genetic code in two manners: having more than one tRNA (with a specific anti-codon) for a particular amino acid; and 'wobble' base-pairing, i.e. permitting non-standard base-pairing at the 3rd anti-codon position. The record is from Rfam. Lineage: Eukaryota; Fungi; Ascomycota; Eurotiomycetes; Eurotiales; Aspergillaceae.
GGGGUGAUGGCUCAGUUGGGAGAGCGUAUGACUGAAGAUCAACUUCAAUCCAGCCCACAGGCAAUCAUAAGGUCCCCGGUUCGAUCCCGGGUCACCCCA